Molecule: ribosomal RNA, 444 nt
Filed under: uncultured bacterium
Lineage: Bacteria
Description: bacterial SSU rRNA
Rfam family: Bacterial small subunit ribosomal RNA
Source: RNAcentral
CCUANGGGGGGCAGCAGCAAGGAAUUUUCCGCAAUGGACGAAAGUCUGACGGAGCAACGCCGCGUGAGUGAUGAAGCCUUUCGGGGUGUAAAACUCUUUUCUGAGGGAAGAAGAUCUGACGGUACCUCAGGAAUAAGCAUCGGCUAACUACGUGCCAGCAGCCGCGGUAAUACGUAGGAUGCAAGCGUUGUCCGGAAUUACUGGGCGUAAAGAGCGCGCAGGCGGCAUUUUAAGUAGGGCGUGAAAUCUCUCGGCUUAACUGAGAGGGGUCGUUCUAAACUGGAAGGCUAACGAGGGCAGGAGAGGAAAGUGGAAUUCCCGGUGUAGUGGUGAAAUGCGUAGAUAUCGGGAGGAACACCUGUGGCGAAGGCGACUUUCUGGCCUGUUCCUGACGCUGAGGCGCGAAGGCUAGGGGAGCGAACGGGAUUAGAUACCCUGNUANUC